AUAAUGGGUCAGCGACUUAUAUUCUGUAGCAAGGUUAACCGAAUAGGGGAGCCGAAGGGAAACCGAGUCUUAACUGGGCGUUAAGUUGCAGGGUAUAGACCCGAAACCCGGUGAUCUAGCCAUGGGCAGGUUGAAGGUUGGGUAACACUAACUGGAGGACCGAACCGACUAAUGUUGAAAAAUUAGCGGAUGACUUGUGGCUGGGGGUGAAAGGCCAAUCAAACCGGGAGAUAGCUGGUUCUCCCCGAAAGCUAUUUAGGUAGCGCCUCGUGAAUUCAUCUCCGGGGGUAGAGCACUGUUUCGGCAAGGGGGUCAUCCCGACUUACCAACCCGAUGCAAACUGCGAAUACCGGAGAAUGUUAUCACGGGAGACACACGGCGGGUGCUAACGUCCGUCGUGAAGAGGGAAACAACCCAGACCGCCAGCUAAGGUCCCAAAGUCAUGGUUAAGUGGGAAACGAUGUGGGAAGGCCCAGACAGCCAGGAUGUUGGCUUAGAAGCAGCCAUCAUUUAAAGAAAGCGUAAUAGCUCACUGGUCGAGUCGGCCUGCGCGGAAGAUGUAACGGGGCUAAACCAUGCACCGAAGCUGCGGCAGCGACACUAUGUGUUGUUGGGUAGGGGAGCGUUCUGUAAGCCUGUGAAGGUGUACUGUGAGGUAUGCUGGAGGUAUCAGAAGUGCGAAUGCUGACAUAAGUAACGAUAAAGCGGGUGAAAAGCCCGCUCGCCGGAAGACCAAGGGUUCCUGUCCAACGUUAAUCGGGGCAGGGUGAGUCGACCCCUAAGGCGAGGCCGAAAGGCGUAGUCGAUGGGAAACAGGUUAAUAUUCCUGUACUUGGUGUUACUGCGAAGGGGGGACGGAGAAGGCUAUGUUGGCCGGGCGACGGUUGUCCCGGUUUAAGCGUGUAGGCUGGU
RNAcentral lists this ribosomal RNA (912 nucleotides) under Escherichia coli. Its description in RNAcentral is "partial 23S ribosomal RNA". It matches the Rfam family "Bacterial large subunit ribosomal RNA", at positions 612 to 1529 of the family's 2925-position model. The record is from RNAcentral. Lineage: Bacteria; Pseudomonadati; Pseudomonadota; Gammaproteobacteria; Enterobacterales; Enterobacteriaceae.